GGAGGAAAAGAAACCAACAGGGAUUGCCUCAGUAACGGCGAGUGAAGCGGCAACAGCUCAAAUUUGAAAUCUGGCCUCUUGGGGUCCGAGUUGUAAUUUGUAGAGGAUGUUUCGGGUACCGCCUCGGUUUAAAUUUCUUGGAACAGAAUGUCAAAGAGGGUGAGAAUCCCGUCUUGGACCGGCGGUAGGGCCUAUGUGAAACUCCUUCGACGAGUCGAGUUGUUUGGGAAUGCAGCUCAAAAUGGGUGGUAAAUUUCAUCUAAAGCUAAAUAUUGGCCAGAGACCGAUAGCGCACAAGUAGAGUGAUCGAAAGAUGAAAAGCACUUUGAAAAGAGAGUUAAACAGUAUGUGAAAUUGUUGAAAGGGAAGCGCUUGCAACCAGACUUGAGCGCGGCGGUUCCCCCUUGCUUCUGCUUGGGUUACUCCGCCGUGUCCAGGCCAACAUCGGUUCUGGGGGUCGGUCAAAGGCUCUGGGAAUGUAUCUACCCACGGGUAGACUUAUAGACCAGGGUGUCAUGCGACCUCCCGGGACCGAGGAACGCGCUUCGGCUCGGAUGUUGGCGUAAUGGUUGUCAGCGACCCGUCU
Molecule: ribosomal RNA, 586 nt
Filed under: Fonsecaea nubica
Lineage: Eukaryota; Fungi; Ascomycota; Eurotiomycetes; Chaetothyriales; Herpotrichiellaceae
Description: partial large subunit ribosomal RNA
Rfam family: Eukaryotic large subunit ribosomal RNA
Source: RNAcentral